This is a long non-coding RNA of Ictalurus punctatus (channel catfish), 1994 nucleotides long. NCBI's taxonomy places the organism in Eukaryota, Metazoa, Chordata, Actinopteri, Siluriformes, Ictaluridae. The record is from Ensembl.
UAAUCCAUCAUGAGUGGAGCAGAAUGAAAACUAAUGUCCUGAUUUGGUCUCGCUGUAACCUUAGUGCAUUGUGGGUAGAUAGAGGUGAUAAAAUGUCACAUAUCACCAUACAGUGUGUGUGUGUAUGUGUGUGUAUGUAUGUAUAUAUAUAGGUAUAUAUGUGUGUGUAUGUGUGUGUGUAUAUAUAUAUAUAAAGAUCAGUAAUGCAGGGGCUGUUAUAGAUUCAGAUAUUUCUGCCCUGUGUUUAUGAAGUUCAUUAUUUUAAGUAGAAAAAGAGAGAAAGUGAAACAGAAUGGUGUCUGUUCAUUUUCACACGAGUAGUAACAACAAUGGUAGGAAAGUUAGACAAUAAGAAGAAGAAGAAGAAUAGUUCUGUCCCGUGUGUGUGUGUGUAUGUAUAUAUAUGUGUGUGUGUGUAUGUGUGUGUGUGUGUGUGUGUGUUACAGUGUAAAAUAUCAGCUAUUAUAACCUCUACAAAUAUGAUCGUUAUUUUAAAACACACUCCGGUGGCGUAAACUACAGGAAAUAUGCAUGUAAUGAGACGUAAUCAUUUUACUCACAACGAAAACAAAAACUAACAUGAAGAUCUAUCCCCCGGAUGAGUCCCCCGGAUGAGUCCCCCGGAUGAGUCCCCCGGAUGAGUCCCCCGGAUGAUUCCCCGGAUGAUUCCCCUGGAUGAUUCCCCUGGAUGAUUCCCCUCGAUUAGAAAGACAUUUUUGAGAAUGAAUUUCCUGUAAAAUUUGCAACACAGGACUUCACCCAUCAAUCAUUUGGUAAAGUUGUGUGUAAAUGCGUAAACCGGACUAAAACGUUCCGUCGGAUUCAUAAACGUUUCAGUAAAGUGCGUUCCCGAUGCAGCUCAUUUGCAUUUAGUGACGCCCACAAAACUCCAUAAGAGGUCAAGGGCAGGAAACACGAUUGAAUGAUUAAAGUGAGAGAGUGUACCUAAAGGGUACCACCCCUCCCACUGGGUACGGUUUAGUACCCUUUUAUCCCUACGAGAGAAAUACGAGUCCCUCACUCACUACCGUCCAUUCAGAAGUUAUGCUUCACGAGGGGACACGCCCACGGCAGCCAUUCUUAUUCUCGUUCCACACUGAGGGGGUGGAGUCUGCUCUCCAGAUUCUGCUCUCGUGCAUUUAAUGUGUUCCACCUAAACAGAUUAAAAUGUGUUCCACCUUAAAAUGUGUUCCACCUUAAAAUGUGUUCCACCUUAAAAUGUGUUCCACCUAAACAGAUUGAGAGAGAGUAAUUGGUGAUUAAACAGAUGUUAAACUUGUUUGAUAUGGGGUAAGAAAAAAGACGGUGAUAUCGUGAUUCACCACCUACACCCUGCAGUUCUCCUUUUAUGAGCCAAAGGGGCGUGGCCUAGUCUCCCGUCUGCAUUACGGCACCUGUGUGUCUCGUGUGGGGGUGUGUGUGCGUUUGUGAUUCGUUCUUACACCUGUGUGGUUGUCUCUGAGCUCAGACACACUGGUUCCCGUGUGUUCACUUCAGUAAGGUUCGUUAUUGUUUGCGUGUAACAGGGCGCGUCUCUGUAAAAUGAUUUUUUCUGCUCUUUCAAGGUAUAAUAUAUUUAUUUCUCUUGGUGUGACCACUUCCUGUUUUUAAAACGCAAUAAUAUCACUUUAAAUGGAUCUCUUUGUUUUCAUUCAAGCCGUUGGAAUAAAUUUAAAUCCUAUUUCCAUAAUAUUUACGUAUUCGGUGUGUAGCUUAAGUCUUUUGAAAAUGAUUCACUGACUGAAUUUAUUUCUUUUAUUGGAAGUUUAGCAUUUAAGUAUUUCAUGACGAUCUGGACCCUGUGCAGGGUGUACCCCGCCUCGUGCCCCAUGCUCCUUGGGAUUGGCUCCAGGUUCCCCGUGACCCUGAGAAGGAGUAAGCGGUAGUAGAAGAUGGAUGGAUGACGAUCUGAUUUAAAUUCAGUGUGUUAACAAAUUCACUGCAUCAUCGCAAUUAUUCAGUAGUGAUUCUUUAAUUCAGUUCAGUGUUGUGUG